This 1590-nucleotide long non-coding RNA is filed under the name Triticum aestivum (bread wheat). Its description in RNAcentral is "long non-coding RNA (TAES_LNC000691)". The record is from RNAcentral. Lineage: Eukaryota; Viridiplantae; Streptophyta; Magnoliopsida; Poales; Poaceae.
UUGCCUAAGUGUUGUCUAAGGUGGAAUUUAUUCGUCAAUCUUAGAUGCCAAGAUAAGUUGAUACACAUCUUGAAAGUGUAUUUUUUUUUGUUCUAGCCUGUAAGGGCUUUCAUUCUUAAAAUAAUGAAAUCAAGGUAGGCAGGUAGCAAGAGUAUAAGUUUCAUAUGCGGGGGAGAUGGGUCAUCUAGAUUACUUCAGUUACUGAACUGUGACCACCAUGUCGGUAAACGAUGAUCUUUGAUCGCCAUUGGUUGCAUACAUGUUCUUUAACUGAAAUAAUUUAGAAGAUUCAUUUCCAAGAAUAAUUGGCUCAUAUUAAUAACUUGUUGUGCAGCUUGCAUUGCCCUAAAGGAUUUUUAUAAACUCAACAUGAUGCAGCGCGUGGACUGGAAUGAGAAGCAUAGGGUUAUUUUUCUACAUAAAAAGGUGAUAAAUAUUCUCUCUUAACUGUAAAUGAAUUAUGAGUGGCACACAUGAAUUCCUUAGGUCUCUAGGUUAUUUCAUUUCAAAAUUUGAACUUCCCAUGGUGAAUCUGAAAAGAAAUAUUGUUCUUGUAAUAAGUGUAAAUUUGGUAUAUGAUGAUGCUUAAGACAAUAAGACUGACGGAUAUUGGAUUAUUUGUCGUGUCCUUUUGAAAAUUGCAGAAAAAUGCCUACGCAUUGCUGUAUUCGGGAGACUUAUCAACUGCAGCAAAGAAUGCAAUGAAGAAUAAUUUUGAAACAAAGAUAUCUCACAUAGUGGAUAUCAGCUACCACAGGUUGGCAUCCUUAUUAUAUUUCUACGACAUGCAUGCAUUCAAUUGCUCAAGCACGUUCUCCCUACUUGUCUUCAACAAAUAUGAAUGCUUAAGACCGGAUGUUUCUUCUCUAUGGGAAAGCAGUGGCUACACCCACCACACUACACCCCGGCUAUACCCCGCAAGAAAACAUAUCAAAACUUUUCAAAAAAGUUCUGAAACUUUGUGGUAAUAGUUAUGAACAAAUGUUAUAGGUGUUUGCAAAGUUUGGAUGUCAAAUAACAUUCGAGGAGCUCUGUAAAAAAAAUCACCAAAAAUUACUCAAAAUAUAUGUGCACUGUUUGAGUAGAUUUUGUAAUUUUCUUUUUGUGCAAAGCUCGUCGAAUGUUAUUUGACCACCAAACUUUGCAAGCACCUAUAUAUUUGCUUCUUAAGAAUGGCAGUAAUUUUAAUAAGCUCAUUACUAAUUUACUGGGUUUGCAGCUUUUCAGGUAAGAGCGAUGUUGUGAAAAUUUUGACGGUCAAGGGAGCAAAGCCUGACGGGCGACAUCUGUCCUGCGACUUCGUUGAUGUACACCAUGUAGAAACAAUGCUCAGCAGUUACAAGACGUCUCAUGGUACCGGGGGAAAUGCUGCCAGGGUUGAACCAAGUGCGGAUGAGGUCUAGCCGUCUAGACGUGCGAGAGGACUUUCCAUAAUACGUUUCUCUGAUCUGGUAGGCGGAGAGCAUGUGCCCGGAACGCAGUUCCUGUGGUAUCCGCGUUGGCUGCGGAGUUUUUUUUCUAAGAGAGAGAGAGAUCAGCAGAGGUUAUGCUCUGUUCGUGGUCGGCCUGCAAGUGUUUUGUAUGUUCUCG